Molecule: ribosomal RNA, 253 nt
Filed under: uncultured bacterium
Lineage: Bacteria
Description: partial 16S ribosomal RNA
Rfam family: Archaeal small subunit ribosomal RNA
Source: RNAcentral
UACCAGCACCCCGAGUGGUCGGGACGUUUAUUGGGCCUAAAGCAUCCGUAGCCGGUUCUACAAGUCUUCCGUUAAAUCCAACUGCUUAACAGAUGGGCUGCGGAGGAUACUAUAGAGCUAGGAGGCGGGAGGGGCAAGCGGUACUUAGUGGGUAGGGGUAAAAUCCGUUGAUCCAUUGAAGACCACCAGUGGCGAAGGCGGCUUGCCAGAACGCACUCGACGGUGAGGGAUGAAAGCUGGGGGAGCAAACCGG